CGGCGACCGGCGCACGGGUGCGUAACGCGUAUGCAACCUACCCAUUACAGGGGGAUAACACUGAGAAAUUGGUACUAAUACCCCAUAACAUCACCGGAGGCAUCUUCGGUGGUUGAAAACUCAGGUGGUCAGAGAUGGACAUGCGUUGUAUUAGCUAGUUGGUGAGGUAACGGCUCACCAAGGCGACGAUACAUAGGGGGACUGAGAGGUCAACCCCCCACAUUGGUACUGAGACACGGACCAAACUCCUACGGAAGGCAGCAG
This 264-nucleotide ribosomal RNA is filed under the name uncultured bacterium. RNAcentral's name for it is "partial 16S ribosomal RNA". It matches the Rfam family "Bacterial small subunit ribosomal RNA", at positions 89 to 354 of the family's 1533-position model. The record is from RNAcentral.